Molecule: ribosomal RNA, 120 nt
Filed under: Oncorhynchus mykiss (rainbow trout)
Lineage: Eukaryota; Metazoa; Chordata; Actinopteri; Salmoniformes; Salmonidae
Source: RNAcentral
GCUUACGGCCACACCGGCCUGAGUACGCCUGAUUCUCGUCCGAUCUCGGAAGCUAAGCAGGGUCGGGCCUGGUUAGUACUGGAUGGGAGACCGCCUGGGAAAUACCAGGUGCUGUAAGCU